Molecule: ribosomal RNA, 800 nt
Filed under: uncultured bacterium
Lineage: Bacteria
Description: bacterial SSU rRNA
Rfam family: Bacterial small subunit ribosomal RNA
Source: RNAcentral
AGAGUUUGAUCAUGGCUCAGGACGAACGCUGGCGGCGUGCCUAACACAUGCAAGUCGAACGGGGUCAAUUGGGAGCUUGCUUCUGGUUGACCUAGUGGCACGGGUGAGUAACGCGUGAGGAACCUGCCUUUCAGAGGGGGAUAACGACCUGAAAAGAUCGCUAAUACCGCAUAACAUCGAAGUGUCGCAUGGCACUUGGAGCAAAGGAGCAAUCCGCUGAAAGAUGGCCUCGCGUCCGAUUAGCUGGUUGGAGGGGUAACGGCCCACCAAGGCGACGAUCGGUAGCCGGACUGAGAGGUUGAACGGCCACAUUGGGACUGAGACACGGCCCAGACUCCUACGGGAGGCAGCAGUGGGGGAUAUUGCACAAUGGGGGAAACCCUGAUGCAGCAACGCCGCGUGUGGGAAGAAGGUUUUCGGAUUGUAAACCACUGUUCUUAGUGAAGAAGGAAGUGACGGUAGCUAAGAAGAAAGCUCCGGCUAACUACGUGCCAGCAGCCGCGGUAAUACGUAGGGAGCGAGCGUUGUCCGGAUUUACUGGGUGUAAAGGGUGCGUAGGCGGCCCUGCAAGUCAGACGUGAAAGCCCUGGGCUCAACCCGGGAACUGCGUUAGAAACUGUAGGGCUUGAGUGAAGUAGAGGUAGGCGGAAUUCCCGGUGUAGCGGUGAAAUGCGUAGAGAUCGGGAGGAACACCAGUGGCGAAGGCGGCCUGCUGGGCUUUAACUGACGCUGAGGCACGAAAGCGUGGGUAGCAAACAGGAUUAGAUACCCUGGUAGUCCAUGCUGUAAACGAUGAUUAC